GGCUCCGUAGCUCAGCGGAUAGAGCGACGGUUUCCUAAACCGCAGGUCACAGGUUCAAUUCCUGUCGGGGCCG
Molecule: transfer RNA, 73 nt
Filed under: Cohnella lupini
Lineage: Bacteria; Bacillati; Bacillota; Bacilli; Caryophanales; Paenibacillaceae
Rfam family: tRNA
About the family: Transfer RNA (tRNA) molecules are approximately 80 nucleotides in length.
Source: Rfam by way of RNAcentral